UGGGGAAUUUUGGACAAUGGGCGAAAGCCUGAUCCAGCAAUGCCGCGUGUGUGAAGAAGGCCUUCGGGUUGUAAAGCACUUUUGUCCGGAAAGAAAUCCUUGGCUCUAAUACAGUCGGGGGAUGACGGUACCGGAAGAAUAAGCACCGGCUAACUACGUGCCAGCAGCCGCGGUAAUACGUAGGGUGCAAGCGUUAAUCGGAAUUACUGGGCGUAAAGCGUGCGCAGGCGGUUUGCUAAGACCGAUGUGAAAUCCCCGGGCUCAACCUGGGAACUGCAUUGGGUGACUGGCAGGCUAGAGUAUGGCAGAGGGGGGUAGAAUUCCACGUGUAGCAGUGAAAUGCGUAGAGAUGUGGAGGAAUACCGAUGGCGAAGGCAGCCCCCUGGGCCAAUACUGACGCUCAUGCACGAAAGCGUGGGGAGCAAACAGGAUUAGAUACCCUGGUAGUCCACGCCCUAAACGAUGUCAACUAGUUGUUGGGGAUUCAUUUCCUUAGUAACGUAGCUAACGCGUGAAGUUGACCGCCUGGGGGAGUACGGUCGCAAGAUUAAAACUUAAAGGAAUUGACGGGGUCAUAGCUGUUUCCU
This 587-nucleotide ribosomal RNA is filed under the name uncultured bacterium. RNAcentral's name for it is "partial 16S ribosomal RNA". It matches the Rfam family "Bacterial small subunit ribosomal RNA", at positions 355 to 1375 of the family's 1533-position model. The record is from RNAcentral.